Molecule: ribosomal RNA, 255 nt
Filed under: uncultured bacterium
Lineage: Bacteria
Description: partial 16S ribosomal RNA
Rfam family: Bacterial small subunit ribosomal RNA
Source: RNAcentral
CAGUAUUAGGUAGUUGGUGGGGUAAAGGCUCACCAAGCCGACGAUCUGUAGCUGGUCUGAGAGGACGACCAGCCACACUGGGACUGAGACACCGGCCCAGACUCCUACGGGAGGCAGCAGGUGGGGAAUUUUGGACAAUGGGGCAACCCUGAUCCAGCCAUGUCGCGUGAGUGAUGAAGGCCUUAGGGUUGUAAAGCUCUUUUGUCCGGGAAGAUAAUGACUGUACCGGAAGAAUAAGCCCCGGCUAACUUCGUG